ACCUCCUCAAACACGAACUCAAUGUCCACCCAGCUUCGGCUGAUAA
RNAcentral lists this small RNA (46 nucleotides) under Salmonella enterica subsp. enterica serovar Typhi. RNAcentral describes it as "StyR-354". The record is from RNAcentral. Lineage: Bacteria; Pseudomonadati; Pseudomonadota; Gammaproteobacteria; Enterobacterales; Enterobacteriaceae.